CUAGGGGUGAUCUCAGGCGCUUAAAAACUUCCAUUUGUUGUUGAAAAAGAUAUAGAAUAUAUCAUAAUACUUUGAAUUUUCUGAUAAAGAUAGAUUACAAUCACUUCUAUCUUCAUUUGAUAGUAUGGAGCUUCAUGUACCUUUCAUUAAAAAGGUUGCACUAUUAAAGGAGAGGAGACAAAAAACCUGCAUGAAUAAUACUGUUAUAUAUACUAC
This 216-nucleotide long non-coding RNA is filed under the name Mytilus galloprovincialis (Mediterranean mussel). The record is from RNAcentral. Lineage: Eukaryota; Metazoa; Mollusca; Bivalvia; Mytilida; Mytilidae.